RNAcentral lists this unclassified non-coding RNA (344 nucleotides) under Hevea brasiliensis (rubber tree). The record is from RNAcentral. Lineage: Eukaryota; Viridiplantae; Streptophyta; Magnoliopsida; Malpighiales; Euphorbiaceae.
AAACGUACUAGUAAAAGUCCCAAAAGGCGUGAUGCUAGCAAAAGCCCUAGCAGGAGCAGAAGCAGGAGCCGAAGCAAGAGCAAGAGCAAGAGUCCUUCACGAUGAAGAUGGAGGCAGAGCUGUUGUCGAUUUCCACUGCGGCGGAGUGAAGUUGGAAUCAGAGUAUCAAACUGUGAACCUGUCGGGAAUAGACUCUUGUUAGACUUGAUAGUAUCUAUGUUUUGUUUGGACUUUUUAUGUGUGCUAUUCUUAUAUAGGAUGUUCUCAGGUGGAGAUGCUUGAAAUGUUCCACUAAUUCACAUUCUUGGCUUCUUCGUGGUGCUUUAAAACUUGUGACACUAUAA